AGUGAACGCUGACGGUAGGCCUAACACAUGCAAGUCGAACGGCAGCACAGUAAGAGCUUGCUCUUACGGGUGGCGAGUGGCGGACGGGUGAGGAAUACAUCGGAAUCUACUUUUUCGUGGGGGAUAACGUAGGGAAACUUACACUAAUACCGCAUACGACCUACGGGUGAAAGCAGGGGAUCUUCGGACCUUGCGCGAUUGAAUGAGCCGAUGUCGGAUUAGCUAGUUGGCGGGGUAAAGGCCCACCAAGGCGACGAUCCGUAGCUGGUCUGAGAGGAUGAUCAGCCACACUGGAACUGAGACACGGUCCAGACUCCUACGGGAGGCAGCAGUGGGGAAUAUUGGACAAUGGGCGCAAGCCUGAUCCAGCUAUACCGCGUGGGUGAAGAAGGCCUUCGGGUUGUAAAGCCCUUUUGUUGGGAAAGAAAAGCAGCAGGUUAAUACCCCGCUGUUCUGACGGUACCCAAAGAAUAAGCACCGGCUAACUUCGUG
Molecule: ribosomal RNA, 492 nt
Filed under: uncultured bacterium
Lineage: Bacteria
Description: partial 16S ribosomal RNA
Rfam family: Bacterial small subunit ribosomal RNA
Source: RNAcentral